GCCUUCGUGGUGUAAUGGUCAGCACACUUGGCGUAUAUUCGAGUGGUCCGAGGUUCGAGUCCUCGGCGAGGGCA
RNAcentral lists this transfer RNA (74 nucleotides) under Stegodyphus mimosarum. It matches the Rfam family "tRNA". From Rfam's summary of the family: Transfer RNA (tRNA) molecules are approximately 80 nucleotides in length. Lineage: Eukaryota; Metazoa; Arthropoda; Arachnida; Araneae; Eresidae. The record is from Rfam by way of RNAcentral.